CCUACGGGAGGCAGCAGUGAGGAAUAUUGGUCAAUGGACGAGAGUCUGAACCAGCCAAGUAGCGUGAAGGAUGACUGCCCUAUGGGUUGUAAACUUCUUUUAUAUGGGAAUAAAACAGGGUAUGCAUACCCUCUUGUAUGUACCAUAUGAAUAAGGAUCGGCUAACUCCGUGCCAGCAGCCGCGGUAAUACGGAGGAUCCGAGUGUUAUCCGGAUUUAUUGGGUUUAAAGGGAGCGUAGGUGGAUUGUUAAGUCAGUUGUGAAAGUUUGCGGCUUAACCGUAAAAUUGCAGUUGAAACUGGCAGUCGUGAGUACAGUAGAGGUGGGCGGAAUUCGUGGUGUAGCGGUGAAAUGCUUAGAUAUCACGAAGAACUCCGAUUGCGAAGGCAGCUCACUGGACUGCAACUGACACUGAUGCUCGAAAGUGUGGGUAUCAAACAGGAUUAGAUACCCGUGUAGUC
This 460-nucleotide ribosomal RNA is filed under the name uncultured bacterium. Its description in RNAcentral is "partial 16S ribosomal RNA". It matches the Rfam family "Bacterial small subunit ribosomal RNA", at positions 338 to 795 of the family's 1533-position model. The record is from RNAcentral.